Pezoporus occidentalis (night parrot) is the source of this 1001-nucleotide long non-coding RNA. RefSeq lists it as uncharacterized. NCBI's taxonomy places the organism in Eukaryota, Metazoa, Chordata, Aves, Psittaciformes, Psittacidae. The transcript is spliced from 6 exons. The record is from RefSeq and is a predicted model, not a curated record.
AUAUUUCUUUGUUCUGGUUUCUCUUUCCACUGCAAGGCCUCUGUCAUGCAAGGGGAUUGACCUGGCUCUGGGGAGUAUCUGCACAUCUGUGAGAAACUCUUUUCCUCUUUCACUGUGUCUUUGGAAGAAAAGAAUGGAGGACAGGACUGGGUGAGGAAGAAGGUUUGACUGAAAACAAAGGCAAGGUCAGAGCGUGGCUCCACUGUGUGGGCUCCCAGCAGAGCAGGAGGUAGCUGGCGUGAAAGCCUGGUCUGUGCCAUAAAGGGGCAUGGAGGACACCUGAAAAGGAAGUUCUAACAAGAAAAAAGAAAGCUGGAAGGACCCAGAGGUUUAAGGCGUAACCCUUUGGAAACAAGAGGUCAGCUAAAUCUGUAUUAAAGGCUGCUCAAGGAGAAUUUACCUGGCAACAGAUUUACUUAAAUGCUAUCACCUGGACCCUUAUCAGUAGAUGCAGCUGGGGAAAACCUCAGGGAACUUGUCUGGCCGUUCUUAUGCUUCUAGGGUGCUGAUGGUGUUCAUUGAGUUGUGCUCCCCAGGGAACUGCAGUAAUGUAGUGAGAUAAUAGUAAACAAGGUGAGAACCACGGGCAUUCUGAAGAAAAUAAUAAAGAAAAUGAGCAUUGUGGAGUUAAACAGAAAAACAUUCUAUGAUUCUCCAAGGGUGGAAAAGUAGACCAGAUUAUUUCCUCAAUUUAUUCAGAAGAGGAAAAAAGAAACCUACCAUAGAACAUUGGCUACCAACUGUUUUCUUGGAUAUCUUCAGGGAAAAAUGGAGAAAAGAUGAACGCGAGAAAGACAUCUUGUAAUGACAAAUUCAGUCGUGAAGUGACCGCUGUCAACUGGACAUAAGUAAGCAAGUGGAGUAACUUGGUUUGUUAUAUUUAUGGACUAGAGAACUUCCACUGGAAGAUAUCCAAAUAGGUGCCCAUAAAUUAAGGAAUGCUGAAAAAUAGCCAAAGCUGAGUGCUUUUGAAAAUUCUACUUUUCCUAUACAGAUUUUAU